RNAcentral lists this ribosomal RNA (627 nucleotides) under uncultured archaeon. RNAcentral's name for it is "bacterial SSU rRNA". It matches the Rfam family "Archaeal small subunit ribosomal RNA", at positions 146 to 774 of the family's 1478-position model. The record is from RNAcentral.
AUAAUACUCCAUAGAUUAUGGAAUCUGGAAUGAUCCAUAGUCGAAAGUUCCGGCGCUUAAGGAUUGGUCUGCGGCCUAUCAGGUAGUAGUGGGUGUAACGGACCCACUAGCCGAUGACGGGUAUGGGCCUUGAGAGAGGGAGCCCAGAGAUGGAUUCUGAGACACGAAUCCAGGCCCUACGGGGCGCAGCAGUCGCGAAAACUUCACAAUGGAGGCAACUCCGAUGAGGGAAUUCCUAGUGCCAAUGCAUUUUGUGUUGGCUUUUCUUCAGCGUAGAUAACUGAUGGAAUAAGGGCUGGGUAAGACGGGUGCCAGCCGCCGCGGUAAUACCCGCAGCCCAAGUGGUGGUCGAUAUUAUUGAGUCUAAGACGUUCGUAGCCGGUUCAAUAAAUCUCUGGGUAAAUCGGAGGGCUCAACCUUCCGAAUUCCGGAGCGACUGUUGAACUUGGGACCGGGAGAGGCAAGAGGUACUUCUGGGGUAGGGGUAAAAUCCUGUAAUCCUAGAAGGACCACCGGUGGCGAAGGCGUCUUGCUAGAACGGAUCCGACGGUGAGGGACGAAGCCCUGGGUCGCAAACGGGAUUACAUACCCCGGUAGUCCAGGGUGUUAACGCUGCAGACUUGGUGU